Molecule: long non-coding RNA, 3773 nt
Organism: Chenopodium quinoa (quinoa)
Lineage: Eukaryota; Viridiplantae; Streptophyta; Magnoliopsida; Caryophyllales; Amaranthaceae
Exons: 2
Source: RefSeq, a predicted model, not a curated record
UUUUUUUUUUAAAAAUCGUCAUAGCCUCACAACUCUUUUCCUCCCUCGUAUUUCUCGGUUUCUCCAUCAAGCUUGAUGGAGCUUCUCGCUCUCAGUGCUCCACCGCUAUCCCUUUCUCCCUCCCAGUGCGACACUGUAGCCCCCACCUACCGCAGCCUACCCCUAUCGCAACCUGUGCUCCCAUAAGGAGUCUGCACUGAUUAUCGCUCCACCGCCUUGCUCACCAGUCCUCCGCCGAACCCACCGAUCCAUGGCCAACCGCCACACCUCGAUCUCCGCUGCAUCGCUACGCCGUCACUUCACUAUACAGCAUUCCUCAAAAAUCCAUAAAAAUUGGUGAAAUGGGUGAUUCGUAAUGAAAGCAGUUGUUAUAACAAGCCCAUGAGGUCCAGAAGUAUAGAAACUAGAAGAGGUAGAAGACCCCCAAAUCAAAGACGAUGAAGUUUUGAUCAAAUUUGAAGCAACUACACUUAAUCAAGCAGCUAUCAUUUAGAGGAAGGGCUCUUUGGAACUAUCCUGCUCUAGAAUUGAAUGUUCUGGAACUAUCCUUCUAUUUGGCAACAAUGUCACUCACUGGAGAGUUGGUGAUCAGGUUACAAACUUUUAACUUUUCUGCUUCAAUUUUCCCAUUAUUUGCAAUUGUUUGGAGGUUGGUGAUUUGGGUUUUCAUAAUUUUCAAUAAUAGCUAGUUAUAAUCUUGACAAUUUUUUAUAUGUGGGGUGUGAUUAACUAGUAGUUCUUGUUCUGGAUGCGAUUAAAUUGAUUGAUUAAUCAUGUUAAUCUGUGCAUUUUCUCUUUGCAUUUGAUAUGGGUUAUUUAUAAUGGAAUGUGAUAAAUUUUGGUUCAAUAAGUUGUUAAUUGAUGGUAGUGGAGGUAACCUAAAUAUUGUUAUAUAAGCUAGAUGUAUGAUUGGUGCAACGGAAUGAUUAGUAAUGCUAAAGAUGAAAUGUAUUUAGAGCUGGCCAAAAUUGCCUCCGAUAGAUUUUAUUUUACCUGUGCUAAAGUUUCUUGUAUCACAUUUUGAACCAUGUGGAUCCUAGUGGGAAAUUGGCAUGACUAGAUUUGCAUUUAACGAACAGCUUUAUACAACAUAGGUUUUAAUUAAUUCAUUAUUACUUGUCUUUAUUCAUUAAAUAAAGAAAUAUAUCUCAUGAAACUAACUAAAAAGAUUGUGUGGGCAUAUUUGCUAUGGAUCAAAAUCACAAAGUUACUUUAAGUGCAAUUGUAAGAUAAUCAGAAUGUGACUAUAUCCUCUUAAUCUAGUAUACUUUUAGUUCAUUUUUGCACAUAAAUCUAUAAUUCCUUAUUUUUGUUUACUCAUUCACUACCCAAGAAAUCAUUGUUGGUCGGACUGCUUAUACAUACUGCUCGCUAAUUCUUGCAGGUAUUUCCCCCAAUUUCUACUUUUUUAUUUCUUCAAUUUCAUAAAUUAGUGUUUUUUCUCACCACAAUGCUCGAUUUGAUGAUCGCUGCACAAUUAAUUAUGUAUUCGGUAAAUUUUGUUUGGGAAGUGCAAAAUUGAUUUAGAAUAAUGGCAGCUUAGAAACUUCCACCCCAUCUUUCAAGCAACCGUAGUAAACAGCUACAAAUCCACCUAUUCCUAGUUCUCUCCGAAAGCCUUUUGUAAGGUUUGUAAGGCUAAGCUGGUUAUUGGUUGUGCAACACAGAAGCUUGUGGUGUGAUUUUUGUAAGCUAGUGAUUUAGUGUUGUGUAACAGAGAAGCUCUGACUCUAUUUUGCAGAUUGAAUUUAAUUGAGGUUUGAUAUUAUAGUAGCAGUUGAAUACCUAUGAGCUGUUGAAUAUUUAGAGGGACAUUCUUAAUUUCAUCAGGACCCAAAUUACAUUUAGUUUACUGUUGUAUUACCCUUAUACUAAGAAUAUGUUAGAAAUUAAUCUAGAUUGCGUUUGUGUGCAGUCAGGUGCUCUUUCUGUGCUUAGGUAUUUAAAUUUGCAGUCACUUAGGUGCUCUUUUGCUCUUUCUGUGCUUAGGUAUUUGAAUUUGCAGUCAGUCAGCUGAUUUUUCUUUUUUCCUGACUCUCUCUCAAUUUUUCUUUUUCUGCUUAAAUUCGUGGAAAAAAAAAAAUUAAUGCCUUGGAAUCUUAUGGUGGUUGGUUUGUAUGUCGUAGUUCUGAAUCCUAUGAUUACCAAACUUAAUGCCUGCAAUACCCUUUCUACUAAGAUUAUGGAAGAUAUUAAUAAUCUAGACUUUGUUUUAUGCGAAGUCAGGUGAUUGGGUGCUCUUUCUCUACUCAGGUGCUCAGGUACUUGAAUCUGCAAUCAGGUGGGAUCAUAAUUGUCUGCCUAACUAAGGUAUUAAGCUCUUAAACCCGUAUUCGAUCCUAAUCAAUGAAAGUGCCCAGUAGAGGUCCUAUGACAUGCAUAAGUCUACACGACAAAGGUUUAUGCAUUUGGCAGAUUGUGCUGACGAUGAUAUAGCCUCAAAGAAUUUGGCGCAGACAGUAGCUAAAAAACUGGUUCUGCUAUAGCUUGUGAUGAUGAUAUAGCCUGAUUCUGCUCUGAGUCAAAGCCUGUUUUUCCGAGUCUAUAUCAUUUUAGCAUGUUACUUAGGCAUCCGUUUAAUAAGUAUCCAAUAAAACAUGUUACUUGGGCAUCCGUUUAAUAAGUAUUCAUUUCAUGAAAAGCAGUAAACGAAAUUGAAAUCACUAUGACGCAUAUAAGGUUUCAAACUUUGGUCACUUGAUUAAUUUUUGUACAAUAUUUUAUGUUUGAUUUUAUUUAGCUUUUUUUAACGUUGGACUCACUAAAGAACUCGAUAUUUGUCAAAUUCACAAUAUCACUGCCUUAUGUUUAUACACCCACAUAUCUUUCUAUUGGCUGUUUAUACAAGUCCCUAGCACAUUUUCAAAUAAGUUUUUUUUUUUUUUUUUGCUCUAUGCCGUAUAUAAAUGGAUCAUUAUUUUACUCUCACAAACAAUAUUUUGGACCUACCGUUAUCUUCUCUCAUCAAUAUUAAACAACCAAAAAUUAAUAAAGUGAGCAUACAUCAUGGGGCAAAAGGGUAGGGGGGUGUAUUAUUAUUGAGUAGAUGUUGUAUGUACAUUUAUAGAUUCAACAACUCUAAACAAAACAGAAGAUGAAAAGGAAUAGAGAAUUAGAGAUAAGCUAAUAGGAGUAUUAGUAUUACGGAUUACUUCUCAUUUUUGCUUGGGCCUAUGUGGCGUUAUCUGAAUUAAUAUCUGAUGUAUGUCAUACUUGAGCCCUGCCAGAGUUUUAGUGGAUACUUAUUAAACAGAUGCCCAUGUGUUACUUGGGCAUCAUGAUUGUGAUUGUGAUAUAGACUUUGGCAGAGACAGUAGCUGAAAUGCAUAGAAGAAUUUGGUAGAGGUGGUAGCUAAAAAACUAGUUUGUGAUAGUUUUAUUUAUGUCUUUUCUGGAGUUUGUGUGACCUACAGGUACAACCUACUGGAUGGGUGCCAUCAAGGAAAGUACUUUUGAUUGUGUGAGAUUACUAAGGCUUCCUUCAGUUGGAGCCUACUGGAUGUCUGCUGCUCUUAGUGUUGUGCGCUGCUUUCAUUGCUGUCUGCUGCUACUGUUAGUUGCUGGUCUGGUCUGCAGAUGCGCGCUGCUUUCAUUGCUGUCUGCUGCAAUCUUUUGUUACUGCUAGCGGUCUAGUCUAGAGACCGAAGUUCAUGACUUUCUUUUUGUUUUGUUUAUUAGAUUACUUAACCAAACAAAAAAAAAUUGGUGUUGGUUGGAUUUUUUGUAAGAAACUAUUAAAUUUGAUCAAUUCAAAUUAUUGGUGUUUCCUGGAU